RNAcentral lists this unclassified non-coding RNA (363 nucleotides) under uncultured bacterium. RNAcentral describes it as "contains 16S-23S intergenic spacer region". The record is from RNAcentral.
UCCCCGUUACCGAGGCAGUCUGACUAGAUAUGUACAACUAGCCACGAGGGUUGCGCUCGUUGAAGGACUUAACCUAACAUCUCACGACACGAGCUGACGACAGCCAUGCAUCACCUGUCACCGAGUUCCUUGCGGCACAGCCCAGUUUCCUGGGCCUUCUCGGGAUGUCAAACCUUGGUAAGGUUCUUCGCGUAUCCUCGAAUUAAACCACACGCUCCACCGCUUGUGCGGGUCCCCGUCAAUUCCUUUGAGUUUUAAUCUUGCGACCGUACUCCCCAGGCGGUGUACUAAGUGGUUUUCCUUCGACCCUGUCGGCGUCAGAGCCUUCAAGGUCUAGUACACAUGGUUUACGGCGUGGACUAC